GGGCGGUUGGCGAAGUGGUUAUCGCGACUGAUCGACAUUCAGUAGGUCAUAGGUUCGACUCCUAUACCGCCCA
This 73-nucleotide transfer RNA is filed under the name Minisyncoccota bacterium. RNAcentral describes it as "tRNA-Val". It matches the Rfam family "tRNA". From Rfam's summary of the family: Transfer RNA (tRNA) molecules are approximately 80 nucleotides in length. Their secondary structure includes four short double-helical elements and three loops (D, anti-codon, and T loops). The record is from RNAcentral. Lineage: Bacteria; Bacillati; Minisyncoccota.